GGUUAAAUAUUUGAAGAUACUUCUGUCACAUAUUAUAGGGAAAGGAAGAGGGCUUAACACAAUGGGGGAAGUUAUGCUAUAUAUGAAUAAUUAAUUUUCCUUAAAAUUGCCACCUUCAACUCCUCCACCCUCUUUAAGAGAAGAAAACACCAGAAAUGGGGGGGUCAGUUCCAGAUUAGAGUGGGGAUGUUUUCUGUUGAGCAUAAUGGAGAACUUAUGCGCACUGAGUAGUUUUUGAAAUUUCAGAUGGUAAACAACACUUCUAUAAACACUUUGCUACAUCUUUUUAAUAAAUGCACAAACAUGGAAUCUUCAUUGUAUC
RNAcentral lists this unclassified non-coding RNA (322 nucleotides) under Hevea brasiliensis (rubber tree). The record is from RNAcentral. Lineage: Eukaryota; Viridiplantae; Streptophyta; Magnoliopsida; Malpighiales; Euphorbiaceae.